UACGGGGGGGGUAAGCGUUGUUCGGAAUUACUGGGCGUAAAGGGCUCGUAGGCGGCCAACUAAGUCGGACGUGAAAUCCCUCAGCUUAACUGGGGAACUGCGUCCGAUACUGGAUGGCUUGGAUUUGGGAGAGGGAUGCGGAAUUCCAGGUGUAGCGGUGAAAUGCGUAGAUAUCAGGAGGAAUACCGGUGGCGAAAGCGACUCUCUGGGCCAUUACUGACGCUGAGGAGCGAAAGCGUGGGGAGCGAACAGG
Molecule: ribosomal RNA, 253 nt
Filed under: uncultured bacterium
Lineage: Bacteria
Description: partial 16S ribosomal RNA
Rfam family: Bacterial small subunit ribosomal RNA
Source: RNAcentral